AGUGAACGCUGGCGGUAGGUCUAACACAUGCAAGUCGAACGGCAGCACAGUAAGAGCUUGCUCUUACGGGUGGCGAGUGGCGGACGGGUGAGGAAUACAUCGGAAUCUACUUUUUCGUGGGGGAUAACGUAGGGAAACUUACGCUAAUACCGCAUACGACCUACGGGUGAAAGCAGGGGAUCUUCGGACCUUGCGCGAUUGAAUGAGCCGAUGUCGGAUUAGCUAGUUGGCGGGGUAAAGGCCCACCAAGGCGACGAUCCGCAGCUGGUCUGAGAGGAUGAUCAGCCACACUGGAACUGAGACACGGUCCAGACUCCUACGGGAGGCAGCAGUGGGGAAUAUUGGACAAAGGGCGCAAGCCUGAUCCAGCCAUACCGCGUGGGUGAAGAAGGCCUUCGGGUUGUAAAGCCCUUUUGUUGGGAAAGAAAAGCAGCAGGUUAAUACCCCGCUGUUCUGACGGUACCCAAAGAAUAAGCACCGGCUAACUUCGUG
Molecule: ribosomal RNA, 492 nt
Filed under: uncultured bacterium
Lineage: Bacteria
Description: partial 16S ribosomal RNA
Rfam family: Bacterial small subunit ribosomal RNA
Source: RNAcentral